GUGCCAGCAGCCGCGGUAACACGUAGGAGACAAGCGUUAUCCGGAUUUACUGGGCGUAAAGCGCGUGCAGGCGGUUUGGAAAGUUGGAUGUGAAAGCUCCUGGCUUAACUAGGAGAGGUCAUUCAAAACUUCCAGACUAGAGAGUGGUAGAGGAAGGUGGAAUUCCGGGUGUAGUGGUGAAAUGCGUAGAUAUCCGGAGGAACACCAGUGGCGAAAGCGGCCUUCUGGACCAUUUCUGACGCUCAGACGCGAAAGCUAGGGUAGCAAACGGGAUUAGAGACCCCGGUAGUCCUAGCCGUAAACUAUGUAGACUUGGCGUUGGUGGGUUAAUAUCCGCCAGUGCCGUAGCUAACGCGAUAAGUCUACCGCCUGGGGACUACGAUCGCAAGAUUAAAACUUAAAGGAAUUGACGGGG
This 415-nucleotide ribosomal RNA is filed under the name uncultured prokaryote. Its description in RNAcentral is "bacterial SSU rRNA". It matches the Rfam family "Bacterial small subunit ribosomal RNA", at positions 505 to 918 of the family's 1533-position model. The record is from RNAcentral.